GACGAACGCUGGCGGCGUGCUUAACACAUGCAAGUCGAACGCUGAAGACCUGGCUUUUGUUGGGUUGGAUGAGUGGCGAACGGGUGAGUAACACGUGAGUAACCUGCCCUCUUCUUUGGGAUAACGCCCGGAAACGGGUGCUAAUACUGGAUAUUCACUGGCCUUCGCAUGGGGGUUGGUGGAAGGGGUUGUUCUGGUGGGGGAUGGGCUCGCGGCCUAUCCGGUUGUUGGUGGGGUGAUGGCCUACCAAGGCUUUGACGGGUAUCCGGCCGGGGAGGGUGACCGUGGAAAUUGGGACUGGGACACGGCCCAGAGGCCUGCGGGAGGCGGCAGUGGGGAACAUUGCACAAAGGGCGAACGCCUGAUGCAGCGGCGCCGCAUGAGGGAUGGAGGACUUCGGGUUGUAAUCCUCUUGCGCUCAUGGUCAAGCCGCAACUGUGGGUUGUGGUGAGGGUAGUGGGUAAAGAAGCGCCGGCUAACUACGUG
RNAcentral lists this ribosomal RNA (486 nucleotides) under uncultured bacterium. RNAcentral's name for it is "partial 16S ribosomal RNA". It matches the Rfam family "Bacterial small subunit ribosomal RNA", at positions 28 to 507 of the family's 1533-position model. The record is from RNAcentral.